This 884-nucleotide ribosomal RNA is filed under the name uncultured bacterium. RNAcentral describes it as "bacterial SSU rRNA". It matches the Rfam family "Bacterial small subunit ribosomal RNA", at positions 17 to 891 of the family's 1533-position model. The record is from RNAcentral.
UCCUGGCUCAGGAUGAACGCUAGCUACAGGCUUAACACAUGCAAGUCGAGGGGAAACGACAUCGAAAGCUUGCUUUUGAUGGGCGUCGACCGGCGCACGGGUGAGUAACGCGUAUCCAACCUGCCCACCACUUGGGGAUAACCUUGCGAAAGUAAGACUAAUACCCAAUGACGUCUCUAGAAGACAUCUGAAAGAGAUUAAAGAUUUAUCGGUGAUGGAUGGGGAUGCGUCUGAUUAGCUUGUUGGCGGGGUAACGGCCCACCAAGGCGACGAUCAGUAGGGGUUCUGAGAGGAAGGUCCCCCACAUUGGAACUGAGACACGGUCCAAACUCCUACGGGAGGCAGCAGUGAGGAAUAUUGGUCAAUGGGCGAGAGCCUGAACCAGCCAAGUAGCGUGCAGGAUGACGGCCCUAUGGGUUGUAAACUGCUUUUAUAAGGGAAUAAAGUGAGUCUCGUGAGACUUUUUGCAUGUACCUUAUGAAUAAGGACCGGCUAAUUCCGUGCCAGCAGCCGCGGUAAUACGGAAGGUCCGGGCGUUAUCCGGAUUUAUUGGGUUUAAAGGGAGCGUAGGCCGGAGAUUAAGCGUGUUGUGAAAUGUAGAUGCUCAACAUCUGCACUGCAGCGCGAACUGGUUUCCUUGAGUACGCACAAAGUGGGCGGAAUUCGUGGUGUAGCGGUGAAAUGCUUAGAUAUCACGAAGAACUCCGAUUGCGAAGGCAGCUCACUGGAGCGCAACUGACGCUGAAGCUCGAAAGUGCGGGUAUCGAACAGGAUUAGAUACCCUGGUAGUCCGCACGGUAAACGAUGGAUGCCCGCUGUUGGUCUGAAUAGGUCAGCGGCCAAGCGAAAGCAUUAAGCAUCCCACCUGGGGAGUACGCCGGCAA